AUUGAACGCUGGCGGCAUGCCUUACACAUGCAAGUCGAACGGCAGCACGGGAGCAAUCCUGGUGGCGAGUGGCGAACGGGUGAGUAAAGUAUCGGAACGUGCCCAGUCGUGGGGGAUAACGUAGCGAAAGUUACGCUAAUACCGCAUACGAUCUAUGGAUGAAAGCGGGGGAUCGCAAGACCUCGCGCGAUUGGAGCGGCCGAUAUCAGAUUAGGUAGUUGGUGGGGUAAAGGCUCACCAAGCCGACGAUCUGUAGCUGGUCUGAGAGGACGACCAGCCGCACUGGGACUGAGAAACGGCCCAGACUCCUACGGGAGGCAGCAGUGGGGAAUUUUGGACAAUGGGCGAAAGCCUGAUCCAGCCAUGCCGCGUGCAGGAUGAAGGCCUUCGGGUUGUAAACUGCUUUUGUACGGAACGAAAAGGUUUGGCCUAAUAAGCUGAGCUCAUGACGGUACCGUAAGAAUAAGCACCGGCUAACUACGUGCCAGCAGCCGCGGUAA
This 500-nucleotide ribosomal RNA is filed under the name uncultured bacterium. RNAcentral describes it as "partial 16S ribosomal RNA". It matches the Rfam family "Bacterial small subunit ribosomal RNA", at positions 30 to 523 of the family's 1533-position model. The record is from RNAcentral.